Erinaceus europaeus (western European hedgehog) is the source of this 564-nucleotide long non-coding RNA. RefSeq lists it as uncharacterized. The transcript is spliced from 4 exons. The record is from RefSeq and is a predicted model, not a curated record. Lineage: Eukaryota; Metazoa; Chordata; Mammalia; Eulipotyphla; Erinaceidae.
UGGAGGUUACGGGAAGGAAGGACGGGUGUGCGCAUGCGUGGGCCCUCAGUCUCUGACUUCAGUUACCUGGGAGGCUGCGAGGCGCCCUCGGUCCUGGCUGUUUCUGAACUUCCCCUCAGCGCCGAUCCUCGGCUGCUGAAGCAGAUAAGCCCAGAGAAAAGUGACAUACUAUGUUACUCUGCUAUAAUAGGAAACCUGAGAUUCAAAGCAGCUGUGACUCCAAGGAGUUUGCCUUCUUGCAGGUCCUAAUGGAGUUGUACUUCAGAGCCCUCUGGUCAUCUUCUGGUCAUCUUCUCCUAACAUUUCUUCCCCUCUGGGAGUAUGAGCCAAAAUUUUUUGGGGUGCAGAAGUCUGGAAUGUUGACACACUGCCAGGAAGUGAAGAAACGAAAUCUGAGCAUGAGCAUGAAAACCCCACUCUCUGAGGACAGAACAGAAAUCCAUAUGGAUUCUUAAUUUCCUAAAGCUUAAUUGAAUUGUCAGACAGCCAAGAAUUACCCACUUCUGGUCUCCAGGUCCCCUCAUUGUGUUGGUGUUUCUGUUACCUGCCAUCCUUCUAGGAAUA